RNAcentral lists this transfer RNA (76 nucleotides) under Escherichia coli. RNAcentral's name for it is "tRNA-Thr". It matches the Rfam family "tRNA". From Rfam's summary of the family: Transfer RNA (tRNA) molecules are approximately 80 nucleotides in length. Their secondary structure includes four short double-helical elements and three loops (D, anti-codon, and T loops). Further hydrogen bonds mediate the characteristic L-shaped molecular structure. tRNAs have two regions of fundamental functional importance: the anti-codon, which is responsible for specific mRNA codon recognition, and the 3' end, to which the tRNAs corresponding amino acid is attached (by aminoacyl-tRNA synthetases). tRNAs cope with the degeneracy of the genetic code in two manners: having more than one tRNA (with a specific anti-codon) for a particular amino acid; and 'wobble' base-pairing, i.e. permitting non-standard base-pairing at the 3rd anti-codon position. The record is from RNAcentral. Lineage: Bacteria; Pseudomonadati; Pseudomonadota; Gammaproteobacteria; Enterobacterales; Enterobacteriaceae.
GCUGAUAUGGCUCAGUUGGUAGAGCGCACCCUUGGUAAGGGUGAGGACCCCAGUUCGACUCUGGGUAUCAGCACCA